CCUACGGGAGGCUGCAGUAGGGAAUCUUCCACAAUGGACGAAAGUCUGACGGAGCAACGCCGCGUGAGCGAAGAAGGUCUUCGGAUCGUAAAGCUCUGUUGUUAGGGAAGAACAAGUACGGGAGGAAAUGACCGUACCUUGACGGUACCUAACGAGGAAGCCACGGCUAACUACGUGCCAGCAGCCGCGGUAAUACGUAGGUGGCAAGCGUUGUCCGGAAUUUUUGGGCGUAAAGCGCGCGCAGGCGGUCUUUUAAGUCUGAUGUGAAAUCUUGCGGCUCAACCGCAAGCGGUCCAUGGAAACUGGGGGGCUUGGGGGCAGAAGAGGAAAGGGGAAUUCCAAGCGUAGGGGUGAAAUGGGUAGAGAUGUUGAGGAACACCAGGGGGGAAGGCGGCUUUCUGGUCUGUAACUGACGCUGGGGCGCGAAAGCGUGGGGAGCAAACAGGAUUAGAUACCCUUGUAGUC
RNAcentral lists this ribosomal RNA (465 nucleotides) under uncultured bacterium. Its description in RNAcentral is "bacterial SSU rRNA". It matches the Rfam family "Bacterial small subunit ribosomal RNA", at positions 338 to 795 of the family's 1533-position model. The record is from RNAcentral.